GGCAGUUCUCGGGUGCCACACCCCGGAAUCGGGCUCCCUCCUCUCUGGUUCUGGGGUGCGUCACCCGAGAACCCCC
This is a non-coding RNA of Myotis davidii, 76 nucleotides long. NCBI's taxonomy places the organism in Eukaryota, Metazoa, Chordata, Mammalia, Chiroptera, Vespertilionidae. The record is from Rfam.